AUGGCCAGCGGCUCAGUCGAUAAUUGGUUGGGGAGCACCAGUUUCUCGAUGCAGGCCGGCUCGCAGCAGCCGGAGGCACCGCUCUCCCAGUCAUCGCCAAUGGGUCGCAGUUUGGCUGACCAGAAGUGGGAUAUAUGGUUUCAUUUAGAAGGAAGAAACCCUGUGAAAAGGGGUAUAUUUGAGUCAGAUAUUUCUUUGCUUACUCUACAAUCACUCAUUGCUAGUGAAGGGUAUGGGGACAGUGAUUACAUGUACUAUGUGAAGGAGGAGGAAAUUGGAUCUGACAGAGUAAAGUAUUUAGGUAAUGAAGCUAGUGUUCAUGAAAUGUUGGACUUUUUUCAUCAUGUCAAGCUAGUCAACAUAAGGGUUGUGAGAAAUGUUGAACCUGAAAUUAGUACACAGGCUAAUGAGAAUUACAUGAACACUCAAGAGAGCUGCUGUGUGAAAAAGGUUGUGGAGCAAUCCGAGCUUCAGAAUCAGAUAGAUGAUAGAAAGGCUCAGCUUGAGAGGAGCAGGAUUCAAAGAGAGGCAGAUUUGAACCACUUUGAAGGAGACACUGAAGAAGAAGAAUUUGGUUCUGAUGAUUCAGUUCAUUCAGAUGGUAGUGCUGAAGCUGUUCAACAAAUGGAAAUAGAGUGUGCCUCUGAAGAGGAAACACCAUUGCAAAGUACUGCUAUUGUGAAACAUGUGAAGAACCCUGGGCCAACUAGCAGAUGUCACAAUGAGGUAGAGAAAAAAUGUUUUGAAGAUUGGUUUCCUGAAGCAGAUGAGUUUUGUUUUGCUGGUGAUCCAGGCAUAAGUGAUGAGGAAGAAGAAGAUGAAGUUGAACUACCAUACAUCAUGAAGAAGGCAAAGACAAAGAGUAGUAAGAAAAAGAUGAAGGAAAGAGUAUAUUUUGACCCU
This 903-nucleotide ribosomal RNA is filed under the name Triticum aestivum (bread wheat). RNAcentral's name for it is "partial small subunit ribosomal RNA". Lineage: Eukaryota; Viridiplantae; Streptophyta; Magnoliopsida; Poales; Poaceae. The record is from RNAcentral.